This 579-nucleotide ribosomal RNA is filed under the name Enterobacterales bacterium. RNAcentral describes it as "bacterial SSU rRNA". It matches the Rfam family "Bacterial small subunit ribosomal RNA", at positions 822 to 1402 of the family's 1533-position model. Lineage: Bacteria; Pseudomonadati; Pseudomonadota; Gammaproteobacteria; Enterobacterales. The record is from RNAcentral.
GGUUGUUCCUUGAGGAGUGGCUUCCGGAGCUAACGCGUUAAGUCGACCGCCUGGGGAGUACGGCCGCAAGGUUAAAACUCAAAUGAAUUGACGGGGGCCCGCACAAGCGGUGGAGCAUGUGGUUUAAUUCGAUGCAACGCGAAGAACCUUACCUACUCUUGACAUCCAGAGAACUUACCAGAGAUGCAUUGGUGCCUUCGGGAACUCUGAGACAGGUGCUGCAUGGCUGUCGUCAGCUCGUGUUGUGAAAUGUUGGGUUAAGUCCCGCAACGAGCGCAACCCUUAUCCUUUGUUGCCAGCGGUUCGGCCGGGAACUCAAAGGAGACUGCCAGUGAUAAACUGGAGGAAGGUGGGGAUGACGUCAAGUCAUCAUGGCCCUUACGAGUAGGGCUACACACGUGCUACAAUGGCGCAUACAAAGAGAAGCGACCUCGCGAGAGCAAGCGGACCUCAUAAAGUGCGUCGUAGUCCGGAUUGGAGUCUGCAACUCGACUCCAUGAAGUCGGAAUCGCUAGUAAUCGUAGAUCAGAAUGCUACGGUGAAUACGUUCCCGGGCCUUGCACUCCCCGCCCGUCAAAA